This 440-nucleotide ribosomal RNA is filed under the name uncultured bacterium. RNAcentral's name for it is "partial 16S ribosomal RNA". It matches the Rfam family "Bacterial small subunit ribosomal RNA", at positions 338 to 795 of the family's 1533-position model. The record is from RNAcentral.
CCUACGGGAGGCAGCAGUGGGGGAUAUUGCACAAUGGGGGGAACCCUGAUGCAGCGACGCCGCGUGGGUGAAGAAGCGCCUCGGCGCGUAAAGCCCUGUCAGCAGGGAAGAAAAUGACGGUACCUGAAGAAGAAGCCCCGGCUAACUACGUGCCAGCAGCCGCGGUAAUACGAAGGGGGCAAGCGUUAUCCGGAUUUACUGGGUGUAACGGGGGCGCAGACGGCGAUGCAAGCCAGGAGUGAAAGCCCGGGGCCCAACCCCGGGACUGCUCUUGGAACUGGGUGUCUGGAGUGCAGGAGGGGCAGGCGGAAUUCCUGGUGUAGCGGUGAAAUGCGUAGAUAUCAGGAGGAACACCGGUGGCGAAGGCGGCCUGCUGGACUGCAACUGACGUUGAGGCCCGAAAGCGUGGGGAGCAAACAGGAUUAGAUACCCCUGUAGUC